CAGCCGCCACGGUAAUACGGAGGGUGCAAGCGUUACUCGGAAUCACUGGGCGUAAAGGACGCGUAGGCGGAUUAUCAAGUCUCUUGUGAAAUCUAACGGCUUAACCGUUAAACUGCUUGGGAAACUGAUAAUCUAGAGUAAGGGAGAGGCAGAUGGAAUUCUUGGUGUAGGGGUAAAAUCCGUAGAGAUCAAGAAGAAUACCCAUUGCGAAAGCGAUCUGCUGGAACUUAACUGACGCUAAUGCGUGAAAGCGUGGGGAGCAAACAGGAUUAGAUACCCGCGUAGUCCCUGUCUCUUAUAC
This 301-nucleotide ribosomal RNA is filed under the name uncultured bacterium. Its description in RNAcentral is "partial 16S ribosomal RNA". It matches the Rfam family "Bacterial small subunit ribosomal RNA", at positions 509 to 807 of the family's 1533-position model. The record is from RNAcentral.